CUGCUGCCUUCCGUAGGAGUUUGGGCCGUGUCUCAGUCCCAAUGUGGCCGGUCACCCUCUCAGGUCGGCUACUGAUCGUCGCCUUGGUGAGCCGCUACCUCUCCAACUAGCUAAUCAGACGCGGGUCCAUCUCAUACCACCGGAGUUUUUCACACCAAACCAUGCGGUCUUGUGCGCUUAUGCGGUUUUAGCAGUCAUUUCUAACUGUUAUCCCCCUGUAUGAGGCAGGUUACCCACGCGUUACUCACCCGUCCG
RNAcentral lists this ribosomal RNA (255 nucleotides) under uncultured bacterium. RNAcentral's name for it is "partial 16S ribosomal RNA". The record is from RNAcentral.